GAAAAACUUCAGCCUCACUGAUCUUCCAUCUUUCAUUUCCUUUUUAUCUUCCCACCUGCCAGUCAACUGUAUAUGGAUAACCAAAGCGCAUUCAAUUGACACUUGUGUUAAACGUGGUCAGGAUCAGCCUCUGACCACCACCAGUGUUUUGGAUUCAUUCUUUGCCCCAGAGUAAAAGUGGAGCUGUGGAAAUGUGUAAUCGUGGGCAAAGUAGGGAAGAGCAAAUUAUAACGUGUUGUGCUUCGGACCCCUUCCCCGAGCGGACGAAGAGAAGCCCGUCAAAACUUGGCAAAGGACAGGUCUUCCUGAAAAUUUCGAGGUCAGCUCCCAUGUGGUAA
This is a long non-coding RNA of Pygocentrus nattereri (red-bellied piranha), 338 nucleotides long. NCBI's taxonomy places the organism in Eukaryota, Metazoa, Chordata, Actinopteri, Characiformes, Serrasalmidae. The record is from Ensembl.